GAUGAACGCUGGCGGCGUGCCUAAUACAUGCAAGUCGAGCGAACAGACGAGGAGCUUGCUCCUCUGACGUUAGCGGCGGACGGGUGAGUAACACGUGUAUAACCUACCUAUAAGACUGGGAUAACUUCGGGAAACCGGAGCUAAUACCGGAUAAUAUAUUGAACCGCAUGGUUCAAUAGUGAAAGACGGUUUUGCUGUCACUUAUAGAUGGAUCCGCGCCGCAUUAGCUAGUUGGUAAGGUAACGGCUUACCAAGGCAACGAUGCGUAGCCGACCUGAGAGGGUGAUAGGCCACACUGGAACGGAGACACGGUCCAGACGCCUACGGGACGCAGCAGUAGGGAAUCGUCCGCAAUGGGCGAAAGCCUGACGGAGCAACGCCGCGUGAGUGAUGAAGGUCUUCGGAGCGUAAAACUCUGUUAUUAGGGAAGAACAAAUGUGGAAGUAACUAUGCACGUCGUGACGGUACCUAAUCAGAAAGCCACGGCUAACUACGUG
This 497-nucleotide ribosomal RNA is filed under the name uncultured bacterium. RNAcentral's name for it is "partial 16S ribosomal RNA". It matches the Rfam family "Bacterial small subunit ribosomal RNA", at positions 28 to 507 of the family's 1533-position model. The record is from RNAcentral.